This 480-nucleotide ribosomal RNA is filed under the name uncultured bacterium. RNAcentral's name for it is "bacterial SSU rRNA". It matches the Rfam family "Bacterial small subunit ribosomal RNA", at positions 29 to 507 of the family's 1533-position model. The record is from RNAcentral.
AUGAACGCUGGCGGCGUGCUUAACACAUGCAAGUCGAACGAAGCAUUUAAGACGGAUUCUUUCGGGAUGAAGACUUUUAUGACUGAGUGGCGGACGGGUGAGUAACGCGUGGGUAACCUGCCUCACACAGGGGGAUAGCAGUUGGAAACGGCUGAUAAUACCGCAUAAGCGCACAGUACCGCAUGGUACAGUGUGAAAAACUCCGGUGGUGUGAGAUGGACCCGCGUCUGAUUAGCUUGUUGGCAGGGUAACGGCCUACCAAGGCAACGAUCAGUAGCCGACCUGAGAGGGUGACCGGCCACAUUGGGACUGAGACACGGCCCAGACUCCUACGGGAGGCAGCAGUGGGGAAUAUUGCACAAUGGAGGAAACUCUGAUGCAGCGACGCCGCGUGAGUGAAGAAGUAAUUCGUUAUGUAAAGCUCUAUCAGCAGGGAAGAUAGUGACGGUACCUGACUAAGAAGCUCCGGCUAAAUACGUG